This 253-nucleotide ribosomal RNA is filed under the name uncultured bacterium. RNAcentral's name for it is "partial 16S ribosomal RNA". It matches the Rfam family "Bacterial small subunit ribosomal RNA", at positions 524 to 776 of the family's 1533-position model. The record is from RNAcentral.
UACGGAGGGUGCAAGCGUUAUCCGGAUUCACUGGGUUUAAAGGGUGCGUAGGUGGGUUGGUAAGUCAGUGGUGAAAUCUCCGUGCUUAACAUGGAAAUUGCCAUUGAUACUACUGGUCUUGAAUUUUCUGGAGGUAAGCGGAAUAUGUCAUGUAGCGGUGAAGUGCUUAGAUAUGACAUAGAACACCGAUUGCGAAGGCAGCUUACUACAGGGACAUUGACACUGAGGCACGAAAGCGUGGGGAUCAAACAGG